RNAcentral lists this ribosomal RNA (713 nucleotides) under Salmonella enterica subsp. enterica serovar Paratyphi A. Its description in RNAcentral is "partial 23S ribosomal RNA". It matches the Rfam family "Bacterial large subunit ribosomal RNA", at positions 222 to 973 of the family's 2925-position model. The record is from RNAcentral. Lineage: Bacteria; Pseudomonadati; Pseudomonadota; Gammaproteobacteria; Enterobacterales; Enterobacteriaceae.
AAAUCAACCGAGAUUCCCCCAGUAGCGGCGAGCGAACGGGGAGGAGCCCAGAGCCUGAAUCAGCAUGUGUGUUAGUGGAAGCGUCUGGAAAGGCGCGCGAUACAGGGUGACAGCCCCGUACACAAAAGCGCAUGUGCUGUGAGCUCGAUGAGUAGGGCGGGACACGUGGUAUCCUGUCUGAAUAUGGGGGGACCAUCCUCCAAGGCUAAAUACUCCUGACUGACCGAUAGUGAACCAGUACCGUGAGGGAAAGGCGAAAAGAACCCCGGCGAGGGGAGUGAAAAAGAACCUGAAACCGUGUACGUACAAGCAGUGGGAGCACAGGUUUACCUGUGUGACUGCGUACCUUUUGUAUAAUGGGUCAGCGACUUAUAUUCUGUAGCAAGGUUAACCGUAUAGGGGAGCCGGAGGGAAACCGAGUCUUAACCGGGCGUUAAGUUGCAGGGUAUAGACCCGAAACCCGGUGAUCUAGCCAUGGGCAGGUUGAAGGUUGGGUAACACUAACUGGAGGACCGAACCGACUAAUGUUGAAAAAUUAGCGGAUGACCUGUGGCUGGGGGUGAAAGGCCAAUCAAACCGGGAGAUAGCUGGUUCUCCCCGAAAGCUAUUUAGGUAGCGCCUCGUGAAUUCAUCUCCGGGGGUAGAGCACUGUUUCGGCUAGGGGGCCAUCCCGGCUUACCAACCCGAUGCAAACUGCGAAUACCGGAGAAUGU